This 2905-nucleotide ribosomal RNA is filed under the name Salmonella enterica. RNAcentral describes it as "bacterial LSU rRNA". It matches the Rfam family "Bacterial large subunit ribosomal RNA". The record is from RNAcentral. Lineage: Bacteria; Pseudomonadati; Pseudomonadota; Gammaproteobacteria; Enterobacterales; Enterobacteriaceae.
UUAAGCGACCAAGCGUACACGGUGGAUGCCCUGGCAGUCAGAGGCGAUGAAGGACGUGCUAAUCUGCGAUAAGCGCCGGUAAGGUGAUAUGAACCGUUAUAACCGGCGAUUUCCGAAUGGGGAAACCCAGUGUGACUCGUCACACUAUCAUUAACUGAAUCCAUAGGUUAAUGAGGCGAACCGGGGGAACUGAAACAUCUAAGUACCCCGAGGAAAAGAAAUCAACCGAGAUUCCCCCAGUAGCGGCGAGCGAACGGGGAGGAGCCCAGAGCCUGAAUCAGCAUGUGUGUUAGUGGAAGCGUCUGGAAAGGCGCGCGAUACAGGGUGACAGCCCCGUACACAAAAGCGCACAUGUUGUGAGCUCGAUGAGUAGGGCGGGACACGUGGUAUCCUGUCUGAAUAUGGGGGGACCAUCCUCCAAGGCUAAAUACUCCUGACUGACCGAUAGUGAACCAGUACCGUGAGGGAAAGGCGAAAAGAACCCCGGCGAGGGAGUGAAACAGAACCUGAAACCGUGUACGUACAAGCAGUGGGAGCACAGGUUUACCUGUGUGACUGCGUACCUUUUGUAUAAUGGGUCAGCGACUUAUAUUCUGUAGCAAGGUUAACCGCAUAGGGGAGCCGAAGGGAAACCGAGUCUUAAUUGGGCGUUAAGUUGCAGGGUAUAGACCCGAAACCCGGUGAUCUAGCCAUGGGCAGGUUGAAGGUUGGGUAACACUAACUGGAGGACCGAACCGACUAAUGUUGAAAAAUUAGCGGAUGACCUGUGGCUGGGGGUGAAAGGCCAAUCAAACCGGGAGAUAGCUGGUUCUCCCCGAAAGCUAUUUAGGUAGCGCCUCGUGAACUCAUCUCCGGGGGUAGAGCACUGUUUCGGCUAGGGGGCCAUCCCGGCUUACCAACCCGAUGCAAACUGCGAAUACCGGAGAAUGUUAUCACGGGAGACACACGGCGGGUGCUAACGUCCGUCGUGAAGAGGGAAACAACCCAGACCGCCAGCUAAGGUCCCAAAGUCAUGGUUAAGUGGGAAACGAUGUGGGAAGGCCCAGACAGCCAGGAUGUUGGCUUAGAAGCAGCCAUCAUUUAAAGAAAGCGUAAUAGCUCACUGGUCGAGUCGGCCUGCGCGGAAGAUGUAACGGGGCUAAACCAUGCACCGAAGCUGCGGCAGCGACGCUUAUGCGUUGUUGGGUAGGGGAGCGUUCUGUAAGCCUGCGAAGGUGGCCUGUGAGGGUUGCUGGAGGUAUCAGAAGUGCGAAUGCUGACAUAAGUAACGAUAAAGCGGGUGAAAAGCCCGCUCGCCGGAAGACCAAGGGUUCCUGUCCAACGUUAAUCGGGGCAGGGUGAGUCGACCCCUAAGGCGAGGCCGAAAGGCGUAGUCGAUGGGAAACGGGUUAAUAUUCCCGUACUUGGUGUUACUGCGAAGGGGGGACGGAGAAGGCUAUGUUGGCCGGGCGACGGUUGUCCCGGUUUAAGCAUGUAGGCGGAGGUUCCAGGUAAAUCCGGUACCUUAUUAACGCUGAGGUGUGAUGACGAGGCACUACGGUGCUGAAGUAACAAAUGCCCUGCUUCCAGGAAAAGCCUCUAAGCAUCAGGUAACAUCAAAUCGUACCCCAAACCGACACAGGUGGUCAGGUAGAGAAUACCAAGGCGCUUGAGAGAACUCGGGUGAAGGAACUAGGCAAAAUGGUGCCGUAACUUCGGAGAAGGCACGCUGACACGUAGGUGAAGUGGUUUACCCAUGGAGCUGAAGUCAGUCGAAGAUACCAGCUGGCUGCAACUGUUUAUUAAAAACACAGCACUGUGCAAACACGAAAGUGGACGUAUACGGUGUGACGCCUGCCCGGUGCCGGAAGGUUAAUUGAUGGGGUCAGCGCAAGCGAAGCUCCUGAUCGAAGCCCCGGUAAACGGCGGCCGUAACUAUAACGGUCCUAAGGUAGCGAAAUUCCUUGUCGGGUAAGUUCCGACCUGCACGAAUGGCGUAAUGAUGGCCAGGCUGUCUCCACCCGAGACUCAGUGAAAUUGAACUCGCUGUGAAGAUGCAGUGUACCCGCGGCAAGACGGAAAGACCCCGUGAACCUUUACUAUAGCUUGACACUGAACAUUGAGCCUUGAUGUGUAGGAUAGGUGGGAGGCUUUGAAGCGUGGACGCCAGUCUGCGUGGAGCCAACCUUGAAAUACCACCCUUUAAUGUUUGAUGUUCUAACGUGGACCCGUAAUCCGGGUUGCGGACAGUGUCUGGUGGGUAGUUUGACUGGGGCGGUCUCCUCCUAAAGAGUAACGGAGGAGCACGAAGGUUGGCUAAUCCUGGUCGGACAUCAGGAGGUUAGUGCAAUGGCAUAAGCCAGCUUGACUGCGAGCGUGACGGCGCGAGCAGGUGCGAAAGCAGGUCAUAGUGAUCCGGUGGUUCUGAAUGGAAGGGCCAUCGCUCAACGGAUAAAAGGUACUCCGGGGAUAACAGGCUGAUACCGCCCAAGAGUUCAUAUCGACGGCGGUGUUUGGCACCUCGAUGUCGGCUCAUCACAUCCUGGGGCUGAAGUAGGUCCCAAGGGUAUGGCUGUUCGCCAUUUAAAGUGGUACGCGAGCUGGGUUUAGAACGUCGUGAGACAGUUCGGUCCCUAUCUGCCGUGGGCGCUGGAGAACUGAGGGGGGCUGCUCCUAGUACGAGAGGACCGGAGUGGACGCAUCACUGGUGUUCGGGUUGUCAUGCCAAUGGCACUGCCCGGUAGCUAAAUGCGGAAGAGAUAAGUGCUGAAAGCAUCUAAGCACGAAACUUGCCCCGAGAUGAGUUCUCCCUGAGACUUUAAGUCUCCUGAAGGAACGUUGAAGACGACGACGUUGAUAGGCCGGGUGUGUAAGCGCAGCGAUGCGUUGAGCUAACCGGUACUAAUGAACCGUGAGGCUUAACCUU